This is an RNA transcript of Prosopis cineraria, 1061 nucleotides long. RefSeq lists it as uncharacterized. The transcript has 3 exons. NCBI's taxonomy places the organism in Eukaryota, Viridiplantae, Streptophyta, Magnoliopsida, Fabales, Fabaceae. The record is from RefSeq and is a predicted model, not a curated record.
CCAAUUUAUUUUUGGUUUCGCGCUUCAGCUCUUUGUCUCCAGCUCGCGAUGGCUACCUCACCUUCCUCCACCUAUCUCGCCGACAACCACCUCUUCUCCUCACCAUGGCCACCUCUCUCCUCUUCUCCUUCUAUGACGGCACAUCGAUUCAUGCUUCGAUCUGCGAGCGCUUACAGAUUCAAGAGUUUUUUCCGUCUCAUCUCCACUACAUCACUCGUCAAAGAUUCAAAUCAAUCUCAUUCUCACUCCUCGGUCUUUACUCUCCCUUGCAGAUUACGGCCUCUCAAGUUUCUACUCCGAUUUGCUGCCAACUCUCUCUGUACAUGCGUCAUCUGCGCUACAGGCCCCUUGAAAUUAGGGCUUCAACUAAUCCAAUGUCUCUAUAAAUGACAGGCCUGUCCUGUUAAAGACUAAUACUUGGCAGUGGAAAUUCCAAGGCAAUAAUAUCAGUAUUAUUGUGAAGAGCAUGCAAGGAUGGCACUGAGUCUUCCCAGAAUAUAUUGCUUGUGUUAACCAUUUCUAAAUUUAGAUUAUGCAUUUAUUUAUGUGUGAUUAAAAAAAGAAGUAUGCCUAUUAUUCCUAGAAAAUGACUUCUUUUUUAUUUCCAAAUAUUGACUACUAGGAUGCUUGUGUGCUGUAUUUAAGAAAAGAAUGCUGGUAGGGGAAGUGUUUGUUCAUACUCAACUAUAACCAAUAUUAUAAUCACAUGCUUUAAGUUAGAUGUAAACCAAAUCAUGAAAAUCAUUCAGGGUUCUAAUUUAGUCAUUAGAACCAUCUAUAUUAUUUUCUUGAUUUGAAUAUUUCCCAAAUGAUCAUUCAAUCAAUUUUUUACUUGAUCUGCAGUGCAAAAAGAAUUUGAAGAAGUUCAAAGGGUGAAUUAGUGUUUGCAGCUGUUCCCCAGAAUAUGUGACAACAACAACAACAACAACAAGCCUUUAUCCCACUAGGUGGGGUCGGCUACAUGGAUUGCAAGACGCCAUUGUGCUCUAUCAUUUAUCAAGCUUUUAGGAAUAUUAUUAAUUAAGAGAUCACGUUCAACAACUUCCAAGAGUGUUUUCUUA